This 329-nucleotide ribosomal RNA is filed under the name uncultured bacterium. Its description in RNAcentral is "bacterial SSU rRNA". It matches the Rfam family "Bacterial small subunit ribosomal RNA", at positions 568 to 898 of the family's 1533-position model. The record is from RNAcentral.
CGCGUAGGUGGUAGUGUAAGUCUGGGGUGGAAUGCCGGGGCUUAACCCUGGAGUUGCCUUGGAAACUGCAUUAACUUGAGUCAGUGAGGGGAGGGUAGAAUUCCUGGUGUAGCGGUGAAAUGCGUAGAUAUCAGGAGGAAGGCCUGUGGCGAAGGCGGCCCUCUGGUGCUGGACUGACACUGAGGCGCGAAAGCGUGGGGAGCAAACAGGAUUAGAUACCCUGGUAGUCCACGCCCUAAACGGUGGGCACUAGGUGUAGGGCUCGUAAGGGUUCUGUGCCGAAGGGAACCAUUAAGUGCCCCGCCUGGGGAUACGGCCGCAAGGUUGAA